This 77-nucleotide transfer RNA is filed under the name Desulfurococcaceae archaeon. Its description in RNAcentral is "tRNA-Thr". It matches the Rfam family "tRNA". From Rfam's summary of the family: Transfer RNA (tRNA) molecules are approximately 80 nucleotides in length. Their secondary structure includes four short double-helical elements and three loops (D, anti-codon, and T loops). RNAcentral also lists the same sequence under 1 other name. Lineage: Archaea; Thermoproteati; Thermoproteota; Thermoprotei; Desulfurococcales; Desulfurococcaceae. The record is from RNAcentral.
GCCGCCGUAGCUCAGCCGGGUAGAGCACCGGCCUCGUAAGCCGGGGGUCGCGGGUUCGAAUCCCGCCGGCGGCUCCA